AUACAUCCGGUGUUCCAUGUUUCCCAACUAAAGCCCUUCACACCCAACUAUACACCGGUGUUCUCUGAACUGCCUGCAACUGCAGACCUGUCGGCAGUCGAGUCCCAGCCUGUGGAGAUACGGGACCGGCGAAUGAUGAAGAAGGGCGACGCGCUGGUGGUUCAGAUUCAGGUGGCAUGGAACACCACACCCCCAUCAACAACCUGGGAAGACUAUGAGGUUCUUCGACGGUGCAACCCGCAAGCAGUCAUCUGGAACGACAACAAUUCCAACAAGGAGGCCGUUUCUCAAGGAGGGGAGAAUGUCACAGCGGUGGUACACACCACCGUGUGA
RNAcentral lists this ribosomal RNA (333 nucleotides) under Triticum aestivum (bread wheat). Its description in RNAcentral is "partial small subunit ribosomal RNA". The record is from RNAcentral. Lineage: Eukaryota; Viridiplantae; Streptophyta; Magnoliopsida; Poales; Poaceae.